CCGGGAUGGACACACCGCUGGUGUACCAGUUAUCUCGCCAGAGGUACCGCUGGGUAGCUAUGUGUGGCCGGGAUAAGCGCUGAAAGCAUCUAAGCGCGAAACCCACCUCAAGAUUAGGUUUCCCACUGGAUUAACCAGGUAAGACCCCUGGUAGACUACCAGGUAGAUAGGCCGGGAGUGUAAGCUCAGCAAUGAGUUUAGCGGACCGGUACUAAUCGGUCGAGGGCUUGAUCUG
This 235-nucleotide ribosomal RNA is filed under the name Desulfomonilaceae bacterium. Its description in RNAcentral is "partial 23S ribosomal RNA". It matches the Rfam family "Bacterial large subunit ribosomal RNA", at positions 2692 to 2925 of the family's 2925-position model. The record is from RNAcentral. Lineage: Bacteria; Pseudomonadati; Thermodesulfobacteriota; Desulfomonilia; Desulfomonilales; Desulfomonilaceae.